GAACCCCACCAUUGCCACCGUCCGCAACGGGCCGGUGGCAGUCUGGAUCG
Molecule: ribosomal RNA, 50 nt
Filed under: Acorus calamus var. americanus
Lineage: Eukaryota; Viridiplantae; Streptophyta; Magnoliopsida; Acorales; Acoraceae
Description: Acorus americanus partial 26S ribosomal RNA
Source: RNAcentral